CUUUCAUUGCUCUUCCUGGUAGCUGAAAAGGUAAGCUCUCACCUCUCUCUCUCUCUCUCUCUCUCUCUCUCUCUCGAUAUGUAUAAUAUACAUACAUGUAAUGUGAAUGCAAUAUUGGUUUGAAAAAAUAGAAAGAAACUGGCAACGGAGUUGAUACAUAUAGUACAGCAGCCAUGUGUGGUGUCUGGCAAGGUUUACAGAGAAGAAAGCAGUGUGAUUAAUUGAUCUUUGGAGAUCUGUGGUGAAAACGAUUGAUAUCUUUUCACUUUUAUUGUUCCCUCUCUGUUCAGAUCUCGGGCAGAAACCCCUUUCUUCUCCCCUCCCCUCACUGGUUUUUAGGCCCUUUCUUUCUUUCUCUCUCUGCUUAACAAAGCUGCUUCAGUGAAUUGAAUCCCCUGCGCGAGAGCCCUCGGCUGCUGCAUACGAUCAUAAUGCGCGUGAUUGAAUCUUGACCGUCUCAUUGGAGAGAUUGGUGAUCAUGAUGAUUUUGGGUUCUGAGCAAUGCGUUGUUGCUGCUGCUGCUGUUGUUGUUUUGCGAGGAUUUCUUCUGACUUUUGUUUUCUGAGACAUUCUGUCUUUUGCUGUUCGCUAAUGUGUGAUGAUAUUUUGGGGGCCUUUGGACAUGGGUUUUUGAGAAGGGGGAGGAAAUAAUUACGUGUGAUGUGGAAGCCCAUGGUGGGUGAUGGAUCCUUAUCUCUGACCGUACACGUGUCCCAUCGUGGUUCCACAGCCGUCAAUGCAAGCAAGAAGGGCACUGCACGGCAGCAAUCAUCUGCCUGCAAUGCUCCUCUCGUUUGAACCCAACCAUGCAAGUGAGUGAGUGAGGGGCAGUGUGGUCAUUUCGGGCUUCGAGUCUCUUAAACUUUUUAGCCGUUGCAGGAACCAAACACGGCCUUGUCAAUCAUCGAAGGUGCGGUUCGGCCCCUGCGAAACCCAGAUUGGGUUAGGGCCCAACAACCCAUGGGCGGAAAUAGCAGACCCAAAUUGGGAAAUUCACCUCCAAACCCCUCCCCCACCCCACCCCACCCCACGCCGGAAAUUGCAAUGGCUACGCAAAGUCCGCGAUAGUUUCGGCCACGUGCUCGAAUGACCGAAAUACCCAUCAUGACCUGCCAACACUUUUUACAUUUAUGGGUCCCUCGUUACCUUCCAUCAAGUGGCUCCCAUUUGUUUGACUUCCACACGUUAUUCAAUGCAAUUAUGAUGUUAUAUAGUUGAUAAAGAUGAAUUUGUUUUGAUUUUGAUUUUUGAUUUACAAUAUAAAAUCAAAAAUAAAAUUAUCACAAUUAUAAAGAAUGUGUUUUUAUAGAGGGACUGGUCAAACCAAAUUUGUUGAGCAGAGUUAGCUACACAGUAAUAGCUGCUAGGCAGCUAUCAGUCUCCCUCGGAACCCAUGAAAACGAAUGUUAGGCCUUUGGAGACUAAUGGGGUAGGGUUUGGUUUGGCCGUUGGUGGCUGUCUCGAAAAGAAAAAAGACUUGAGAUUGGCGCCUCUUUGGUCAGAGAGAAGGAGAAAAGCAGAGAAAAUGCGAGUGGGGGGCAUAGGAGGGAUUUGGUAGAUUGUGAAGGGUAGACAGGGAAACAGGAAAGAGGACAGGGGUUGCUUGCGCAAAUCUAGCAAAACUGGGCCUCUGAAGAACCAAAGUUAAGCUGGAGAAGAAAAUUAAAAAAAGAAAAAGAAAAAAAUAGGGUUGAUAGCACUCAGUGUUUGUGAGAAAGGGUUCCAAAAUCAAUGGAGAGGCCAUACAUAUCCCCCAAACGUACGUAAGCGUUUGUGGUUUCAGGAUCUAAGAGUUGGAUUUUGAAGUUUUUAUUUGCGUAUCACCAGAAGUUAUCCAUUUGAAGAGGUGGAAGAAUUAUGGCGAUGUAAAUGUUGCACUGGGGGUCACCGUGGACACAUCCACAGAGAAGGCAAGUGUGGCUCAUUGCCCAAACACCACUACCAAGGCCGUGUUUGGUGUCUUCUUGUGACUUUCAAUACGGGACAAGAAUACCCAUCCAGCGGCCUUGGAGAGAUCAAGAAACCAAGGAGAAAUGUUCCGCAUAGGGUCUCUCCCACCCCCAUUGUUUUUGCUGCUGCUGCUUAUUGCUUUUUUUCAUUCUUGUUUUGACCAGAUUCAUCAGCCCUUUGAGCUUCUUUGAGCUCUCUUUCAAGAUGGAAGCAAGAAAGCCUUCAGCUUUGUCUCAUCCUCUGCGUUUACCCAAUCUUAGGACUGUCUCGCGGCGGCGGCGGCGGCGGCGGUGGACGGUGAACCUCUCAUGAGGGUUUUCUUCAGCUUCUCCGGCGGGUUGUUUGGCCGGAAAACGCCCAGUUCCCAAGUCUUCUGUUUCAUUCGCUUGUAAUGAAGGAUUUGCAGCGCCGGUGGCGGCGGCGCCGGGGGUGGUAGUGGUGGUGGUGGUGUGAUAUUGGCGGGACGGCUCAAUCUAUAUACUAUGAUAUGUUUACCUUUUUCUUCCUA
Diospyros lotus (date-plum) is the source of this 2458-nucleotide long non-coding RNA. RefSeq lists it as uncharacterized. NCBI's taxonomy places the organism in Eukaryota, Viridiplantae, Streptophyta, Magnoliopsida, Ericales, Ebenaceae. The record is from RefSeq and is a predicted model, not a curated record. The transcript is spliced from 2 exons.